GGUUAAGUGACUAAGCGUACAUGGUGGAUGCCUUGGCAGUCAGAGGCGAUGAAGGACGUACUAACCUGCGAUAAGCUGUGAGAAGUCGGUAAGAGACGCUAUUACUCACAGAUUUCCGAAUGGGGAAACCCACCCGAGAUAACUCGGGUAUCUGUUACUGAAUACAUAGGUAACAGAGGCGAACCGGGAGAACUGAAACAUCUAAGUACCCCGAGGAAAAGAAAUCAACCGAGAUUCCCUCAGUAGCGGCGAGCGAACGGGGAUUAGCCCUUAAGCAUCUUGGAAGUUAGUGGAACGGUCCUGGAAAGGCCGGCGAUACAGGGUGAUAGCCCCGUACACGAAAACAACCUUGAUGUGAAAUCGAGUAGGGCGGGACACGUGACAUCCUGUCUGAAUAUGGGGGGACCAUCCUCCAAGGCUAAAUACUCCUGACUGACCGAUAGUGAACCAGUACCGUGAGGGAAAGGCGAAAAGAACCCCUGUGAGGGGAGUGAAAUAGAACCUGAAACCGUGUACGUACAAGCAGUGGGAGCCCUUCGGGGUGACUGCGUACCUUUUGUAUAAUGGGUCAGCGACUUACAUUUUGUAGCGAGGUUAACCGUAUAGGGGAGCCGUAGGGAAACCGAGUCUUAACUGGGCGUCUAGUUGCAAGGUGUAGACCCGAAACCGGGUGAUCUAGCCAUGGGCAGGUUGAAGGUUGAGUAACAUCAACUGGAGGACCGAACCCACUAACGUUGCAAAGUUAGGGGAUGACCUGUGGCUGGGGGUGAAAGGCCAAUCAAACUCGGAGAUAGCUGGUUCUCCCCGAAAGCUAUUUAGGUAGCGCCUCGGACGAAUACUACUGGGGGUAGAGCACUGUUUGGGCUAGGGGGUCAUCCCGACUUACCAACCCCAUGCAAACUCCGAAUACCAGUAAGUAAUAUCCGGGAGACACACGGCGGGUGCUAACGUCCGUCGUGAAGAGGGAAACAACCCAGACCGCCGGCUAAGGUCCCAAAGUUCUGGUUAAGUGGGAAACGAUGUGGGAAGGCUCAGACAGCUAGGAUGUUGGCUUAGAAGCAGCCAUCAUUUAAAGAAAGCGUAAUAGCUCACUAGUCGAGUCGGCCUGCGCGGAAGAUGUAACGGGGCUCAAACCAGGCACCGAAGCCGCGGAUUCACACUUAUGUGUGAGUGGUAGGGGAGCGUUCUGUAAGUCUGCGAAGGUGUAUCGAGAGGUAUGCUGGAGAUAUCAGAAGUGCGAAUGCUGACGUAAGUAACGAUAAAGGGGGUGAAAAGCCUCCUCGCCGGAAGACCAAGGGUUCCUGUCCAACGUUAAUCGGGGCAGGGUGAGUCGACCCCUAAGGCGAGGCCGAAAGGCGUAGUCGAUGGGAAGCAGGUUAAUAUUCCUGCACGACUUGUAAUUGCGAUGGGGGGACGGAGAAGGCUAGGUGGGCCAGGCGACGGUUGUCCUGGUGAAAGUGCGUAGGUGGUGUUUCUAGGCAAAUCCGGAGACACAACACUGAGACACGAGACGAACACACUACGGUGUGGAAGCCAUUGAUGCCCUGCUUCCAGGAAAAGCCUCUAAGCUUCAGAUUACAAGUCAUCGUACCCCAAACCGACACAGGUGGUCGGGUAGAGAAUACCAAGGCGCUUGAGAGAACUCGGGUGAAGGAACUAGGCAAAAUAGAACCGUAACUUCGGGAGAAGGUUCGCUCUUGACAGUGAAGUCCCUUGCGGAUGGAGCAGUUGGGAGUCGCAGUGACCAGAUGGCUGGGACUGUUUAUCAAAAACACAGCACUCUGCAAACACGAAAGUGGACGUAUAGGGUGUGACACCUGCCCGGUGCCGGAAGGUUAAUUGAUGGGGUUAGCGCAAGCGAAGCUCUUGAUCGAAGCCCCGGUAAACGGCGGCCGUAACUAUAACGGUCCUAAGGUAGCGAAAUUCCUUGUCGGGUAAGUUCCGACCUGCACGAAUGGUGUAACCAUGGCCAUGCUGUCUCCACCCGAGACUCAGUGAAAUCGAAUUCGCCGUGAAGAUGCGGUGUACCCGCGGCUAGACGGAAAGACCCCGUGAACCUUUACUACAGCUUGGCACUGAACAUUGAACCUACAUGUGUAGGAUAGGUGGGAGGCUUUGAAGGCGUGACGCCAGUUGCGCUGGAGCCGUCCUUGAAAUACCACCCUUGUAUGUUUGAUGUUCUAACGCAGGGCCCUGAAUCGGGCUCGCGGACAGUGCCUGGUGGGUAGUUUGACUGGGGCGGUCUCCUCCCAAAGAGUAACGGAGGAGCACGAAGGUUGGCUAAUCCUGGUCGGACAUCAGGAGGUUAGUGCAAUGGCAUAAGCCAGCUUAACUGCGAGACGGACAGGUCGAGCAGGUACGAAAGUAGGUCAUAGUGAUCCGGUGGUUCUGAAUGGAAGGGCCAUCGCUCAACGGAUAAAAGGUACUCCGGGGAUAACAGGCUGAUACCGCCCAAGAGUUCAUAUCGACGGCGGUGUUUGGCACCUCGAUGUCGGCUCAUCACAUCCUGGGGCUGAAGUCGGUCCCAAGGGUAUGGCUGUUCGCCAUUUAAAGUGGUACGCGAGCUGGGUUCAGAACGUCGUGAGACAGUUCGGUCCCUAUCUGCCGUGGGCGUUGGAUGAUUGAAGGGAGUUGCUCCUAGUACGAGAGGACCGGAGUGAACGAACCUCUGGUGUUCGGGUUGUCACGCCAGUGGCACUGCCCGGUAGCUAAGUUCGGAAUCGAUAACCGCUGAAAGCAUCUAAGCGGGAAGCGAGCCCUGAGAUGAGUCAUCCCUGACCCCUUGAGGGUCCUAAAGGGCCGUUGGAGACCACAACGUUGAUAGGUGGGGUGUGUAAGCGC
RNAcentral lists this ribosomal RNA (2841 nucleotides) under Aeromonas veronii. Its description in RNAcentral is "partial 23S ribosomal RNA". It matches the Rfam family "Bacterial large subunit ribosomal RNA". Lineage: Bacteria; Pseudomonadati; Pseudomonadota; Gammaproteobacteria; Aeromonadales; Aeromonadaceae. The record is from RNAcentral.